This 439-nucleotide ribosomal RNA is filed under the name uncultured bacterium. Its description in RNAcentral is "partial 16S ribosomal RNA". It matches the Rfam family "Bacterial small subunit ribosomal RNA", at positions 339 to 795 of the family's 1533-position model. The record is from RNAcentral.
CUACGGGCCGCUGCAGUGGGGAAUAUUGCACAAUGGGCGAAAGCCUGAUGCAGCAACGCCGCGUGGAGGAUGAAGCAUUUCGGUGUGUAAACUCCUUUUAUAAGAGAAGAUUAUGACGGUAUCUUAUGAAUAAGCACCGGCUAACUCCGUGCCAGCAGCCGCGGUAAUACGGAGGGUGCAAGCGUUACUCGGAAUCACUGGGCGUAAAGAACGCGUAGGCGGAUUUUUAAGUCUUGAGUGAAAUCCUAUGGCUCAACCAUAGAACUGCUUGAGAAACUGGAAAUCUAGAAUCUGGAAGAGGUAGAUGGAAUUAGUAGUGUAGGGGUAAAAUCCGUAGAUAUUACUAGGAAUACCAAAAGCGAAGGCAAUCUACUGGGACAGUAUUGACGCUGUGGCGUGAAAGCGUGGGGAGCAAACAGGAUUAGAUACCCCCGUAGUC